AGGGAAUUUUCGGCAAUGGGGGAAACCCUGACCGAGCAACGCCGCGUGAAGGAAGAAGGUUUUCGGAUUGUAAACUUCUGUUAUAAAGGAAGAACGGCGGCUACAGGAAAUGGUAGCCGAGUGACGGUACGUUAUUAGAAAGCCACGGCUAACUACGUGCCAGCAGCCGCGGUAAUACGUAGGUGGCAAGCGUUAUCCGGAAUUAUUGGGCGUAAAGAGGGAGCAGGCGGCAGCAAGGGUCUGUGGUGAAAGCCUGAAGCUUAACUUCAGUAAGCCAUAGAAACCAGGCAGCUAGAGUGCAGGAGAGGAUCGUGGAAUUCCAUGUGUAGCGGUGAAAUGCGUAGAUAUAUGGAGGAACACCAGUGGCGAAGGCGACGAUCUGGCCUGCAACUGACGCUCAGUCCCGAAAGCGUGGGGAGCAAAUAGG
Molecule: ribosomal RNA, 427 nt
Filed under: uncultured bacterium
Lineage: Bacteria
Description: bacterial SSU rRNA
Rfam family: Bacterial small subunit ribosomal RNA
Source: RNAcentral